This is a long non-coding RNA of Xiphophorus hellerii (green swordtail), 265 nucleotides long. RefSeq lists it as uncharacterized. Lineage: Eukaryota; Metazoa; Chordata; Actinopteri; Cyprinodontiformes; Poeciliidae. The transcript has 3 exons. The record is from RefSeq and is a predicted model, not a curated record.
CUAACAAAUGCAUGAAUGAAUAAGGUUUGUUAAGGAAUCAUGGCUAUUUUUGAUGGUUUAAUAUAGUUAAGCUAAUGCCAUGUGCGUUUAAGUAGACCAACAUUCCAUUUGGACAAAAGCAGAUGCAAGGCAGGAGUUCACAGAUAAACAUUCUUUUGGCAAGGCUGUAAUUUAGACCAGCCAUAAAACACAAAGCUCUUGAAAGGUUUUAAAUUAGGAGGCCAUAAAGAAUAUCUUCCCCGGCUCGCAGGUCAGAGGUCGGGGG